GGUCCAGACACAGUGAGGAUUGACAGAUUGAGAGCUCUUUCUUGAUUCUGUGGGUGGUGGUGCAUGGCCGUUCUUAGUUGGUGGAGUGAUUUGUCUGCUUAAUUGCGAUAACGAACGAGACCUUAACCUGCUAAAUAGCCCGUACUGCUUUGGCAGUUCGCCGGCUUCUUAGAGGGACUAUCGGCUCAAGCCGAUGGAAGUUUGAGGCAAUAACAGGUCUGUGAUGCCCUUAGAUGUCCUGGGCCGCACGCGCGUUACACUGACAGAGCCAGCGAGUAUUUCCUUGACCGGAAGGUCCGGGUAAUCUUGUUAAACUCUGUCGUGCUGGGGAUAGAGCAUUGCAAUUAUUGCUCUUCAACGAGGAAUCCCUAGUAAGCGCAAGUCAUCAGCUUGCGUUGAUUACGUCCCUGCCCUUUGUACACACCGCCCGUCGCUACUACCGAUUGAAUGGCUCAGUGAGACCUUCGGACUGGCCCAGAGAGGUGGGCAACUACCACUCAGGGCCGGAAAGUUGUUCAAACUCGGUCAUUUAGAGGAAGUAAAAGUCGUAAC
RNAcentral lists this ribosomal RNA (552 nucleotides) under Kernia geniculotricha. RNAcentral describes it as "SSU rRNA". It matches the Rfam family "Eukaryotic small subunit ribosomal RNA", at positions 1221 to 1795 of the family's 1831-position model. The record is from RNAcentral. Lineage: Eukaryota; Fungi; Ascomycota; Sordariomycetes; Microascales; Microascaceae.